CAGUGACAGCACAGCUGAGUCAGCGAUACACCACAAAGAGGAAGCAGUUUCUGUUUGUUUUUGUAACCCUGAGAGAGAAACACAUCCUACCCUCUCUGACUUCUUAGGAAAAAGUUGUUUGAAGAAGAAAGAAAGAGCAUCCCCUUUUGAUGUGGCUAAGAUCACUUCUGUGCUCCUCUCACAGGGCAAGGCAGACAGAGCAGUGAGCCCUGAGGGCCUGGAUCCACCUGUGGAAGGGAAGGCGACUCCCCAGAUGAUUGGUCCUGGCUUCCUGGGGUGGAUCAUGGACAUGAACCCAACCAGCCAGAAUACAGUUCAUCAAAUCAAAUGGCAUGAAGACGGUCAUCAGUCAAAGCCAGGUGGUGGCGUGUGCCUGUAAUCCCAGCACUCAGGAGGCUGAGACAAGGAGGAUCACUGCAAGUUCAAGGCCAGCCUGGACUACGAAGUGAGUUCAAGCCCAGCCUGAACUGCAUAGUGAAACCUUGUCUAAAAAAGACAAGGAAAAAAAUAUCCUCUGUCAGGUCCAGUUUUGAAGAAAUUUUUAAAAGAAAGAAGCUCUGAGAAGUGAUCUAAAUAAGGCCAGAAAAAUAACAUACUUCAGAAGACAUCUUAGAUUGGACCAAAUACCAUAAUAAAGACCUAAAAACCUUCUCUGAGAAAAAAAGUAAUAUUAAGAAUAAAGUGAAAAGGCUGAAAUUGGUGGUCCAUGGUAGUCCCCCGGCCGUGGGGGGCUAAGGCAGGAGGACUCUGAGUUUGAGGCCAGCCUGGGCAACUCAGCGAGACCCUGAUUCAAAAUAACAAAAAGAGAAAGAAUAACAUUUUAUUUCCUGUGCCUCGGGCACAGUGGAACACUUUAUACCUAUUAUACACAUUAUAUGCUUCAACAAAUCCAGAUGGUCAACGAACUGCUAAACAACCACAAGUUAUUUUUGAAAACUAGAAAACAAGCUAUUGUUUAUCUCACUGGUUAAAGAAAAAUUAAUUUCUAGGUAUCAAACAAAUGAAUAAAUAGAAAACAGAGACGAUUAGAUAGAGGGAUGGUAAAAAUGCACUUAGAAAGAUGCAAUUACAUUGCCCCCAAACAUCCUGGAUUCAUUCUAACUUGGGAUUGAUCAUAAUAAAUCCAAAAAUAAUCAUUAGCCAAAGAUUUUAAUUAUAGUGAUAUAAGUCAAGUGAUAUAAUCUGUAUUUAAAAUUUUUUCUUUAUUUUUUGCAAUACUGGGGAUUGAACCCAGAGUCUUUGCAACAAGCUACACCCCCCCCAGACCUUUUUUAUUAUUUUAUUUUUGAGACAGAGUUUUCUCUAAGUCACUAAAUUGCCUGAAUUGGGCUAGAACUCAAAAUCUCCCUGCUUUGGCUUCCCAGAAUACUGGGAGUACAAACAAAUGCCACCAUGUCUGGCUAUAAUCUGCAUUUUUCACUAAGUGUGACAUUGAAAUUCAUACAGAGUCCAACUUAACAAUUUAUUCAGUUGAUGGGCAUCUAACCAGGGGUGGCUUCCUGAAGCCACAUGCAGAGGGACCUGGCCCUCCCAACCCACAUGACCAGGCCACGCAUAGUGUCUUACACCACAAGAUGGCUGCCCAUGGAGUCUCCAUUACACUGUAAAUCCAAGGGCUGCCUAGGGGCCUGAGGCUAAAUGUAACCCAUCUGACCCCACAGUGUGCCUCUGAGAUUCUGACAGGAAAAACUUGUUUCAACUCUAAACAGAGGUUCUGCAGGAACCACUUAUGUGCUUAAUGGUAGAAUUUUGCCAUUCAUCACCAAUCCUCAGUGCCCUCGGGUUAGCUAAUAAUUGCAACUCAUGAGAGAAUUUUGAGUUCCUCAGAUUUAAUUCCUCUAAAAUUCAGACUGAAAUUAGGACAUCAUGAACUGCUGACAAAAGAAAGUCGGUCUGAGUCACUGCUCACAUGUUCCUGACUCAGGUUUUUGUCACAUGAUUCUCAUUCAACACCAUUUUCAUUUUAAGUAAAUGAAUGUGGCAUUAACUUAACUGAAUUUUUAGGGGUUUUUUUGUUUUUGGUUUUGUUUUUAUUUUUGUUUUUUGAGAUAGGGUCUGACUAUGUAGUGUGGGAUGACCUUAAAUUCAUUAUGUCGCCUAGACUGGCCACAACAAUCCUCCUGCCUCAGCCUCCCACGUGCUGGGAUUACAGGUAUUACUUGAAUUUCUGAUCACAUGGUUCAUUAUUGUAAAAAUUUGGUCAAGCUUUCCCAAACCAAUUGAGUCAACCAAUCUUAAUCCAGAUAGGCAAUAAAAAUAGUCCCUCGUUAUACUUGUGGUUUGGACAAAUUAAACAUCAUUAGAUCACUAAUGACAGUAAGGAUACUGGUCAUUGGCAUCUUCCAAGUUUUAUUAUUUUCUUUUCUUUUUUUGGGUACCGGGACCUCAUGACCUCACGCUGGCCAGGCAGGCACAUAAACCGCUGAGCUAAAUCCCCAGCUGUUUUAUUUUUUUUUCCACAAAUGAUACCCCUUUCUGUGUCUUCUCUGAUUGUGUGUAUUUUCUCUUUAGACAGUGGCCCAAAUUUGGAUCCCUUAUUUCAUAGGUUAGAAUGUUGUGACCGUCCAGGGCAUGGCUGGAGGACCACCCUCAAUGCUGCAAGGCCUGAGUUGCAGUUGAAUCCCUCUCUCGUCAAGGUGGGGGACCUUGCACAAGCUGCUGGGCAGUGUAAAACUGUGGUCUGUCCUUCAAAAAUGGAUCUGAUGCUACUUGCUCUGGCAGUCUUCCCGGGGCCUUCUGUGAAGUUUAAUGAGCUAUUACACAAAAGUUAUGUAAAGUUCAGAACCACGUACUGCAAGGCAGUGGUGGGGAGCUUCUUAGAGCUUUCAGCUGAUACAACAGUGGGCUGUGCCGCCCUGCUCCAAGGUGUUGUUAUUGGCAUUCUAGGGAUCACAGGGCUUACACCCUACAGAACAUCCAAAUCACGAUUUACUGGUAAAAAUGCUCAUUGCUAAACUCUGUUUCAACAGAAUCUGAUGUAAUAGGUCCCAAGUAGAUCCCAAAGAUCUGCAUUGUUUUUAGAUGAGGUCUUACUACGUAGCCCAGGCUGGACUCAAACUUGGGAUCCUCUUGGCUUGGCCUCCUGAGUAGCUGUGACUACCAGUUCAUUAGCUUAUUCAAGCAUCUCACUUAGAGCAAUGAGAAAUGGCUCUAAGUGAGAUGCUUGAGUAAGCUAUGAACUGGUGAUCUACUGAAAAACAGUACCCAGAUGAAUUUAUUGCAGGAAGACACUUUUUCUGGAGUGUUCUUAGGGUUGGUUGAAAUAUGAAAGACCUUUUGCUUUCCACUAUACCUUUGCUCCCUCUGAUGCUAUUUGGGGCCAGUGUUUCUGGUCUUCCUUCUUCUCUGACAUGAUUUCUAGUGGAUUAAUCUCCUCCUGGUGGUUCCGUUCCAUUUCAAGGAGACUAACGGAGCCCGUCAUUUUACUGAACUGUGUGGGCUUGCCGCAGGCAUUUGAGAUGCAUAAGAAACAAAUCUCCAACAACUGGCAACUGCUGCUCCAUCCAAGAAGGGAAGUAACAGAGCUGUUGUCUCUCACCAGCCAUGGAAUCCAGUGCUUACAAUUUUGCCACCUGGAAUACAUCGCACAGGCUCGCCUGGGGCUAAAUUAUUAAGUCACUGAAGUUGACUUUGAUGUCCCCACCACUGCAUCUCCUGAUCAUUCUCAUUUUCCCUCCCUGUCACCCUGCCUCACCUCAGGAGGUGCCAUGAUGGUACUCCCUCCCCCCAGUUAUCCUGAACUGAGGAGUUUUUCUUUUCUAGGAUGACACCCUAACUGCAUGGCCAAAGUGAUAGGGGAGAGGGAGCCUCCAGUUAAUCUAAUCAACAUGUUGUGCUGAAUUCAAUGUGUUGCUCCUCCCAGAUUACUGGAAAGAAGAUAUUUUAAAGGCAUUUUAAAGAAGAUAUUUUAAUCCCAAAGAAUCAACUUGCAGGAAUACAAGCCCCUCAAUAACCGAGGCCUGGAGGAAGGAGUAGCCAGUGGUCUGGAGAAAGGACUCCAGGCGCCCUCCCUAAAUCAGCCAUCCUGGCAGCUGAAGGAUGUAUCUAGGGAACACGGGAAGCUGGCCGUGUUAGUUCUCCAGCCUCUCUCCAAUUCCUGCAAUAUAGGGGCCGUGGGUUUCACUGAAUCCUCUUGCAAGAAGUCGUUGUGCUGCUCCCUACACAACCUGGGCCCCUGGGGUCUUUGGAGGGCGGUGCAAACUGUGCAGGUUCAAUCCAUCGACACCAAAGAGUGACUGCAGCACCUCUUCAGGUCAGCUCUGCUGAGCCCAGACUGGUCAGUGUAGUUCUGAUUCCCUGCUCAGAGUGGCUGGCUCUGUCAGAACUACACUGAUCCAUCUUGACUGUCUCCUGGCUGCCCUGGACCUAAUGUCAGAGCGCUCCUGGGAAGGACGAGUCAUCAUUUUCAUGAGAGAGCUUUGGGGCAUGGCCCUUCCUGUGCAAGUGCCCACUUGGGUUGGAAACCAUCUUGGCCCACAGCAGAGGCAAGGAUGAAACUGACCACACGGGUGGAACAAUGACCUGGGAUGAAACUGAUUCCUCGAGAUCACCAGAGAGUUGCUGAACCCAGCAACACUGAAGUCCACCCUACCUCUAGACUUCCAGUUAUGCAAAUUUAUGAACAGGAGUAGGUUCCACCAUAGGUAACCAAAAACACAAAAUAACAGUGGCUUAAACAAAUUUCAGAUUUAUUUUUUUAGAUUUAAAGAAAAAAAAUUGAUCUUUUGUAAAUGGGAAGAGAACUAAGAGAAGGAAGAAGGGGGAAACUAGGGAAGAGAAAAGGGACAUAAAAGAAUUAAGAUGUAUCAUGUACAUGUACUGACUCCCCAUAAUGAAUGUAAUCAUUAUGGGCUGUAGAUACAUGCUAAUAAAAGUGCCAGGUGUGGUGUUACACACCUGUAAUUCCAGUACACGGGAGACUGAGGCAGGAGGAUUACUGUAAGUUCAAGGCCAAGCCUGGGUUACAUGAUGAGACCCUGUCUCAUAAAAACAAAAUACAAAAAUAAAAAUAAAAAUUUUAGAAAUAUUUUUUUAAAAAGAGGAUGCCAGGGACCACGUGCCUUCCAUCUACCAUCCUAACACUUUUACUGCUCCCAGUGGGGUUGGCUUCUCCAGCUCUAGCCACACACUGAAUCCGGUCAGCAAGAAGGAGGAAAGAGAAGGGAUGUGUCAGAGGCUGUACCUAAUAAUAUGCCUGAAUUUAAUUACAUGGCUGCACCACUUUAGAAACAUUAUCUUUAUCCUAGGAGACCAUGUGUCUGGCUAAAAACUGAGAAUUCCUCUCCUGGUGGAAGGGGAUAACCUGCAAUCACAGCCACAGUGCAUCUCCCUGUAGUUUAAGGCAGCUGAAGUUGGGUUUCCUGUUACUCACAAUCAAACACACCCUAUUGCUAUACUCCUUGCCUGUCAUCUUCAGUAACAUGCUGACAGAUAAAAAUGAGCCCUUCACUGAGAGCAUCUCAAAGUUUUUCCUUAUUUUUCUCCCCAGGCUUGGUACAGCACUUGGCACAUAGACACAUUUGAUAAACAUUUGGUACAUUGAACAAAAUUAACCAAGAGGACUCCAACAGACAGAGUUCAAUAGAAUCUUGGCUUUUUGACUUGUCAGGUCUGUCCUUGGGUGAGUCACAAACCCUUCUGAGCCUCAAUUUCUUUGCUUGUAAAUAAGAGAGGUAAUACCUACCUCAAAACAUUGUUAUAAGUAGCCAGGCAUGGUAGUGCACGCCUGUAAUUCCAGUAAUCGGGAGGCUGAGGCAGGAGAAUUGCUGUGAGUUCAAGUCCAGCCUGAGCUUCAAAGUGAGUUCAGGGCCAGCCUGAACUGCAUAGUGAAACCCUUUCUCAAAAGAGACAAAAAUAAACAAACAAAAAACCACUGUUAUAAAUGUCUGUGUUAGUGUGAAGUGCCUCGUACAAUUCCUGGCACAUACAGGAUUGACGCACACCCACCCACCAUGUAUAAGUAUUUUUAAAAUAAUAAUUAUUUGCAUUAGAUGUUUUAAAGGAAAUCUGAAGUUGUGAAAAGAGGGAAUUUGGGCAAUGUUUCAAAUACACACAAACUCUGCAGGCCAUUAUUAAAUCUUAUUCUUAGGAAAAUAUGACUGCUGAGUUCAAAGAAAAGAAUACUUUGAAGAGAUUUUUUGUUAAAACUCUGAAACCUUCUUAGAUAUCAAAUAGUUACUUAGUGAGUUGUGGGUAAAUGAACCAGAACAUAUGUAUUGAGUUUAUCCUGGAGCCCAAUGGGUGUAAAGCCGAACUAGAAAAUGUGCUUUGCAUUCUCUCAUUGUCCAGGGACUGGAAAAAUAGCAUAAUGUUCUGCUAAACCGGAGAUGACCUUGAAUUUAGCGAACAGGCCAAAUGAUGAAGAACCCCAGGCCACUUUUCAGAGACUUUGCCACAUUAAGAGAUUUGUGACAUGCUAUAACCUGAGAUCCUUUUCAUUUGCUGUCUUCUGUAGUUGGGCUCAUAAAGUAGAGGGAGAAAAUGUCUGGUGUCUGUCUUUCCCCAGUCGAGGUCCAAUACACACUAGUCCUCAGAGAUGCAUUAGGAAUCAGAGUUAGCUUUUAAGCUCCAGGGUAGAUAAAGAUUUAGCAAAA
This is a long non-coding RNA of Cavia porcellus (domestic guinea pig), 6593 nucleotides long. RefSeq lists it as uncharacterized. The transcript is spliced from 2 exons. NCBI's taxonomy places the organism in Eukaryota, Metazoa, Chordata, Mammalia, Rodentia, Caviidae. The record is from RefSeq and is a predicted model, not a curated record.